RNAcentral lists this unclassified non-coding RNA (392 nucleotides) under Hevea brasiliensis (rubber tree). The record is from RNAcentral. Lineage: Eukaryota; Viridiplantae; Streptophyta; Magnoliopsida; Malpighiales; Euphorbiaceae.
AAUACAUUUUUUUACACCUUCUCACACUUAAUGAAGGCUUGAGAUUAAUUUACACUCCUAGAAAUUAUUUAUUGCUUUCAUUCAAGUGCUUUAACUUCUAUUUGAGCUACAUUGGCAUAUCAACUCUCUCUCAUCUUUAUAGUUUCUGUUGUAUUAUGAGAGAUUGAGUGAAAAACAAUCUUUAAUAUUAUUAAUGAGGGUUGUUCAAGCACCUUGUGAAGCUUGAAGUGAGUGAAGUGUUUAGGAUAACACUUGUAGAGGUUUACAAGUGCCUUGAAGACUUGUGGAUGUAAAAAGCUUUCUCUUGCCAAUUGAAAAGAGGUUAUAGUGGAGUGAAGACUCAAGAAGGAACCUUAAGAGAGUGGAUAUAGGCUAGUUAAGCCGAACCACUA